Molecule: ribosomal RNA, 468 nt
Filed under: uncultured bacterium
Lineage: Bacteria
Description: partial 16S ribosomal RNA
Rfam family: Bacterial small subunit ribosomal RNA
Source: RNAcentral
GACGAACGCUGGCGGCGUGCUUAACACAUGCAAGUCGAACGGAAAGGCCCUGCUUUUGUGGGGUGCUCGAGUGGCGAACGGGUGAGUAACACGUGAGUAACCUGCCCUUGCCUUUGGGAUAACUUCAGGAAACUGGGGCUAAUACCGACUAGGUGCUCCUGCUGCAUGGUGGGGGUUGGAAAGUUUAGGCGGCUGGGGCAGGUGGCGCGGCUUAUCAGCUUGUGGGUGGGGUAGUGGCUUACGAAGGCUUUGACGGGUAGCCGGCCUGGGAGGGUGACCGGCCACAGUGGGACUGGGAUACCACCCAUACUCCUACGGGAGGCAGCAGUGAGAAAUAGUGCACGAUAGGCGGAAUCCGGAUGCAGCAACGCCGCGUUCGGGAUGACGGCCUUCGGGUUGGAAACCGCUUCCUCCGGUUACGAAGCGUGAUUGACGGUAAUGGGUAAAGAAGCAACGGCUAACUACGUG